Molecule: ribosomal RNA, 253 nt
Filed under: uncultured bacterium
Lineage: Bacteria
Description: partial 16S ribosomal RNA
Rfam family: Bacterial small subunit ribosomal RNA
Source: RNAcentral
UACGUAGGGCGCAAGCGUUAUCCGGAUUCACUGGGUUUAAAGGGUGCGUAGGUGGGCAGGUAAGUCAGUGGUGAAAUCUCCGGGCUUAACCCGGAAACUGCCAUUGAUACUAUCUGUCUUGAAUACCGUGGAGGUGAGCGGAAUAUGUCAUGUAGCGGUGAAAUGCUUAGAUAUGACAUAGAACACCAAUUGCGAAGGCAGCUCACUACACGAAUAUUGACACUGAGGCACGAAAGCGUGGGGAUCAAACAGG